GUAGGUUUACCGAAGCAUGCCGAUAGUUCCGGCCGCCGAUUCAAUCCCGCCGCGGUGCUCUUAACUGAGUGUCGAGGUGGGCCGGCACGUUUACUUUGAACAAAUUAGAGUGCUUAAAGCAGGCUGAUUUCUGCCUGAAUACUGUGUGCAUGGAAUAAUGGAAUAGGACUUCGGUUCUAUUUUGUUGGUUUUAAGAAUCCGAAGUAAUGAUUAAUAGGGACAGGCGGGGGCAUUCGUAUUGCGACGUUAGAGGUGAAAUUCUUGGAUCGUCGCAAGACGUACCUAAGCGAAAGCAUUUGCCAAGUAUGUCCUCGUUAAUCAAGAACGAAAGUUAGAGGUUCGAAGGCGAUCAGAUACCGCCCUAGUUCUAACCAUAAACGAUGCCAGCCAGCGAUCCGCCAAAGUUCCUCCGAUGACUUGGCGGGCAAGCUUCCGGGAAACCAAAGCUUUUGGGUUCCGGGGGAAGUAUGGUUGCAAAGCUGAAACUUAAAGGAAUUGACGGAAGGGCACCACCAGGAGUGGAGCCUGCGGCUUAAUUUGACUCAACACGGGAAACCUCACCAGGCCCGGACACCGGAAGGAUUGACAGAUUGAUAGCUCUUUCUUGAUUCGGUGGGUGGUGGUGCAUGGCCGUUCUUAGUUGGUGGAGCGAUUUGUCUGGUUAAUUCCGAUAACGAACGAGACUCUAGCCUACUAACUAGGCGUUUCCGGUAUCCACAAUAGUGCUACCGGCGAAUAAAUUUCUUCUUAGAGGGACAGGCGGCUUCUAGCCGCACGAGACUGAGCAAUAACAGGUCUGUGAUGCCCUUAGAUGUCCUGGGCCGCACGCGCGCUACACUGAAGGAAUCAGCGUGUCUUCCCUGGCCGAAAGGUCCGGGUAACCCGUUGAACCUCCUUCGUGCUAGGGAUUGGGGCUUGCAAUUGUUCCCCAUGAACGAGGAAUUCCCAGUAAGCGCGAGUCAUAAGCUCGCGUUGAUUACGUCCCUGCCCUUUGUACACACCGCCCGUCGCUACUACCGAUUGAAUGAUUUAGUGAGGUCUUCGGACUGGUGCGCGGCGAUCGCCUCGUGUGGUCACCGA
RNAcentral lists this ribosomal RNA (1080 nucleotides) under Hyphinoe sp. MEM050 Evangelista. RNAcentral describes it as "SSU rRNA". It matches the Rfam family "Eukaryotic small subunit ribosomal RNA", at positions 659 to 1743 of the family's 1831-position model. The record is from RNAcentral. Lineage: Eukaryota; Metazoa; Arthropoda; Insecta; Hemiptera; Membracidae.